AAGAAAUGAAUCAGUUGAUUGAACUUUAAGCAAGUUUUUGUUCUUCGCAGAAGAGAAUAAUAAUAAUAAUAAUUGAGGAUAUUAAAAAUAUAAUUCUCUUUAUAGGAACGACAUCUUCAGCGAGUCCAACAACAUCAGGAGUGACUACUUCGACAAGCCCAUCAACAACAGGUCCAACUCCUCCACCACCUGUUUCUACCACAGG
Molecule: long non-coding RNA, 205 nt
Organism: Erpetoichthys calabaricus (reedfish)
Lineage: Eukaryota; Metazoa; Chordata; Cladistia; Polypteriformes; Polypteridae
Exons: 3
Source: RefSeq, a predicted model, not a curated record